RNAcentral lists this ribosomal RNA (468 nucleotides) under uncultured bacterium. Its description in RNAcentral is "partial 16S ribosomal RNA". It matches the Rfam family "Bacterial small subunit ribosomal RNA", at positions 28 to 507 of the family's 1533-position model. The record is from RNAcentral.
GACGAACGCUGGCGGUGUGCUUAACAUAUGCAAGUCGAACGGAAAGGCCCUGCUUUUGUGGGGUGCUCGAGUGGCGAACGGGUGAGUAACACGUGAGUAACCUGCCCUUGACUUUGGGAUAACUUCAGGAAACUGGGGCUAAUACCGGAUAGGAGCUCCUGCUGCAUGGGGGGGGUUGGAAAGUUUCGGCGGUUGGGGAUGGACUCGCGGCUUAUCAGCUUGUUGGUGGGGUAGUGGCUUACCAAGGCUUUGACGGGUAGCCGGCCUGAGAGGGUGACCGGCCACAUUGGGACUGAGAUACGGCCCAGACUCCUACGGGAGGCAGCAGUGGGGAAUAUUGCACAAUGGGCGGAAGCCUGAUGCAGCAACGCCGCGUGCGGGAUGACGGCCUUCGGGUUGUAAACCGCUUUCGCCUGUGACGAAGCGUGAGUGACGGUAAUGGGUAAAGAAGCACCGGCUAACUACGUG